This 3005-nucleotide long non-coding RNA is filed under the name Mustela putorius furo (domestic ferret). Its description in RNAcentral is "lncRNA (ENSMPUG00000030726.1)". The record is from RNAcentral. Lineage: Eukaryota; Metazoa; Chordata; Mammalia; Carnivora; Mustelidae.
AUGGGUGCUUCUGGAGGGGUGGGGGUGGAGGAGGGCGGCUGCCGGGUCUUCACGGCAGUUCUGCCCUCACUACCCCCACCAAGGGCGGCCUCGGCCGGCUCUCUGCCACCCCCCACGCCCCUCCCUCCUCUCCGCUGCCUCCGGCUGGUUGGGCUCGCUGUUGCUACCUCCUCGCAGAUGCAACGAGGAGGAAACCGAGGAUCAGGGAGAGGGAAUGAUGACCAAGAUCACACAGUUCCCGAGUGGCAGAGCCCGGACCAGAAGCCACGUGUCCUGACUCCUACCACUUCUAUUCAUCCUCCCUCGCUUCAGCUACCAGAUAUUGCGUCUCGUUUUCUGGAACAAUUCUUGCAGAGACUGGGGACUUGGCCAGGUUUUCCUGAAGUGCUAGAAACCACUGUCCCAGCAUCCAAAUAUUCUCAGUCGGUGGCGCCCAUGAAAACACAUGCUUCGGUAUCUUGGAGCAGCUGUGUCCGCAGCCCUGGGAAGCUCUGGGACAGCCAGGACCAUCCUCCUCAGCUGGGAUGGAAGGCCCUUCUGUUGAAGCUAGUUCAGCUCCCUGCCCUCCCGUAGGCUGAGCCAGAGCCAGCUGGAUGUUGGAGGGGGGUUAGCUGGAGACAGUAGAGUGGGAGAACGGGCCCUCCCAGUGGCAGGAGGCACAGCAUCUUUUGUGCCACUGAAAAUUCCAUCCAAGUUUCAGCUGACACAGGUGGAGUGGGCGGGCCUCUGUGAUUUGAUGGGUUCUCUGAGGUUCUGGCUGCCUAAAAAUAUCUUCUCUACCCACCUGCCUAUAACACCCUCCCUUCUUAUCGGGCCUAUGAUUCCUGCCAUUAGAGUCUCGAAGGUUUUAGACGACAAAGGAUGGAGCAUGUUUCCCAGCAGGUCACGGUGAAAGCAGGUUUCCUGGGAGUGGAAGGGAGGCCCUUGUGUCUGCUCCUCUUAGCACAAAGAGCUAAUACUGCCAGGAGCUCAGAGAAGACGAGACUGGCCUACUUUAGAGUUUUGGCUCCUACUGAGACGCCAGUCACUCAAUUCAUUCAUGCCAUAUGACCAGGGCUUUGAAGAAAUUAGGCAGCAGGCUUUCACAAAACUAAGGUGAAGAUGCUGCCUCUCCCUUGCAUUCCUAUCUAGGUUUCUUCCCCCGUGGGAACCGGGGUCCAAGUUGGGGAACUUUCCCAUGCGCCUGCUGCAGCCGACCAGAAGCCUUCCGGAGCUCUGCAGGGUGCUCCAAUCAUCGUUGCUCCCCUUUUCUCCUAAAUCCUUUCCCAUUUCCUUUCGUCAUCACUUCCCUGGGACCAAUCCCAGAAAGAAAUGGAAAAUCCUGGCAUGCUCCUGAGAAGUAGAGGGAUGAAAUGGUGAAGAGUAGGGAGGGGCAGGGGGAGAGGUUCAGAACCUUGUUGAUUGAUUUGGUCCAUCCCAUUCGGACAGGUGUGAGCCUCCACUCUGCUCUGUGAGAGGCUGGGGCGAGGGAGAAAGAUGGACAGGGAGGGUCAGAGGGAACGGUUGCUGACAGAAAGGGCCUGGCAGGCCGCAGAGUGAUUAAUGGUCUUGGGCUUGGGGGAACAGACAAGGGCGAUAGGAAGGGAGGGUAGUGUUGAUGGGGUUGGGAGUUGUGCUACGAAUUUAUAAGCUCUGGUGUGAAGGGGAAGCUCUCUGAAUACUUAAGAAGACGCUUGGUGUAGGGCUGAUUGGUUGGGAUCCGUGUGGAUGCCUUGGGUUUGGUCAGAUGAUGCAUGCAUACAUUUACUAGGUGCCCGUGGAGAAGGCAGGAGAACCCAGUUGAAUAAAUGGAUUAAUGUCAGACCGAUUGGCAAGAUGAUCUUAUCUGGGCUAGACACACGCUGGUGGCAGUGGGUGGGGGAGAUGGGGCGUAGGGGAUGGCUUGCUCUGGAAGCAGAUUGUUGAUUGUUGAUGGUCCUGGCGAGACUUUAAUCAGUUGUUGGCUGUAAGAAUAUAAGGAGGAGAGACUUCCAUUGGGAAGAAAAAAAGCGUAUUUAUUCUCUUCAGAGUACACCUUCAGCUGGUGGCUCAGGGCCAAGAACAGCCCCAGGACAUUUCUGGUGUGAGCCCAGGUUCCGGCAGGGGGAGAGCUGCCCUUUGUCCAUGGAGGUCAGCCAGGGGCCAAGCAAGGAAACAGAUUUAAAGGAUGAGCUUGAUAUGGGGCAGGAGUUUUUGACCAUUCUCAGUUUUCACAAUUUCCUUUCAUUAAUCCCAGACUUAGAGCAAGUUCUUCUUAAGAUAUGUAACCUGGUUUCAGUGAUGCUGUCGUGGCUGACACAAGCAGCUGGCACCUGUCCGGGACCCGGACGCAGAGCAGUGAGCAGCGUCCCCACUUCCUUGACGCUGGAGAAGUAGGAAUAGUGGCAGUCACAGGGCCCUUGUACCCAGUAGGAAUGCCAUGGAAGUCAGGGGCCGAGGCAGUGGCUUGCAGAUAAGGCAGAAUGAAAUAACCUCGUAAAAAAAAUGAAACAAAAUGAAACCAGAGAGGGAGACAGACCAUAAGAGACUCAAUCUCAGGAAACAAACUGAGGGUUGCUGGGGUGGAGGAGGUAGGAAGGGUGGGGUGGCUGGGGGAUGGGCACUGGGGAAGGUAUGUGUUGUGGAGAGCACUGGGUGUUGUGUAAGACGGAUGAAUCUCAGACCUAUACACCUGAAACAAAUAAUACAUUAUAUGUUAAUUUUUUUUAAUGUGCAAAGGUGAAAAAAAAAAAAAAGUCGAAGAAGAAGGAGAAAGGAGAGAAAUAGGCCAGAGGAUUGUACAUGACUUUACUGAAAUUCUUCUUUUUGGGAUACUCUUCCUCACCAAUUGAUAAUAUUACUAGUAAUAGCUAUUAUAUUAAAUCUUACUAUUUUAUUUUGCAAAUGAAUAAAUAAAUAAAUAACCUCAUAGACUUGUUCCUGAACAAUGGGUAAGGCAGCAUUCUGGAAAGCCCUCAGAAGGGUCAGAGAGAACUAGGAUCUCAGCUCAGGCCACUGUAAUUUGAAGCACUUUCUUUUAUAAUAUC